GGUAUGGGAUGAGCUUGCGUCCGAUUAGCUAGUUGGCGGGGCAACGGCCCACCAAGGCGACGAUCGGUAGCCGGCCUGAGAGGGUGGUCGGCCACAUUGGGACUGAGAUACGGCCCAGACUCCUACGGGAGGCAGCAGUAGGGAAUAUUGCACAAUGGGGGAAACCCUGAUGCAGCAACGCCACGUGUGGGAAGAAGCAUUUCGGUGUGUAAACCACUGUCAUGAGGGAAUAAGGCCUAUUUUCGGAUAGGAUUGAAUGUACCUUGAGAGGAAGCACCGGCAAACUUCGUGCCAGCAGCCGCGGUAAUACGAGGGGUGCAAGCGUUGUUCGGAAUUACUGGGCGUAAAGGGAGCGUAGGCGGAGAUUCAAGCGGAUUGUACAAUCCCGGGGCCCAACCCCGGCUCUGCAGUCCGAACUGGAUCUCUUGGAUAGUUCAGGGGCAGGC
This 446-nucleotide ribosomal RNA is filed under the name uncultured bacterium. RNAcentral describes it as "bacterial SSU rRNA". It matches the Rfam family "Bacterial small subunit ribosomal RNA", at positions 217 to 662 of the family's 1533-position model. The record is from RNAcentral.